GGCCUCGUAUCUCAGUUGGCUAGAGCGUUGGCUGUACUAAAGCCUUCCCCUUACUAGCGUGGGUUCAAAUCCCACGGAGGCCG
This 83-nucleotide transfer RNA is filed under the name Schistocephalus solidus. It matches the Rfam family "tRNA". Rfam says of the family: Transfer RNA (tRNA) molecules are approximately 80 nucleotides in length. Their secondary structure includes four short double-helical elements and three loops (D, anti-codon, and T loops). Lineage: Eukaryota; Metazoa; Platyhelminthes; Cestoda; Diphyllobothriidea; Diphyllobothriidae. The record is from Rfam by way of RNAcentral.